This 97-nucleotide microRNA precursor is filed under the name Nicotiana sylvestris (wood tobacco). Its description in RNAcentral is "MIR6152 microRNA precursor family". It matches the Rfam family "MIR6152 microRNA precursor family". Lineage: Eukaryota; Viridiplantae; Streptophyta; Magnoliopsida; Solanales; Solanaceae. The record is from Rfam by way of RNAcentral. RNAcentral also lists the same sequence under 1 other name.
UGGACAAAUUAUUGUAUUAGACUGUAUUCACGACGUAAAAUAGGGGAUUACACUGUUUUUAGAAGGGAAAAUGAAUCAAUUAACAUAAUAGACUCAU